UACGGAGGGUGCGAGCGUUGUCCGGAAUCACUGGGCGUAAAGGGCGCGUAGGCGGCGCGGGGAGUCAACGGUGAAAGCUCGGCGCUCAACGCCGAGUCGGCCGUCGAUACUCCCGUGCUCGAGCACUGUAGAGGCAGGUGGAAUUCCGGGUGUAGCGGUGGAAUGCGUAGAUAUCGGGAGGAACACCUGUGGCGAAAGCGGCUCACUGGACCACAACUGACGCUGAGGCGCGAAAGCUAGGGGAGCAAACAGG
This 253-nucleotide ribosomal RNA is filed under the name uncultured bacterium. RNAcentral's name for it is "partial 16S ribosomal RNA". It matches the Rfam family "Bacterial small subunit ribosomal RNA", at positions 524 to 776 of the family's 1533-position model. The record is from RNAcentral.